GGCAGCUGUGGCGCUUGCGGCCAUCCUGGUGAAUCAGGCGGUGUCUUGUAAGCGACGCCUUCUGGCUAAAGGACCAAUUCGAAUGGAGGCAGGGCCUCCCAAGCAAGCUUAUCUCCAACAGGUCGACCACUUUCCGUAGCCACGAGCUUCACACUUCCCUUCGCCAGGCUGGAGUAAAGCACCACUUCAAGUCAGCCUGCUACGUACAAGCGAAUGGUCUGACAGAGAGGUUGAACCAGACCAUCUAGGCCCAACUCACCCCACACUGUAAAAACAAAAGGCUAGGUCAAGCGGACUGGGAUGAGCAUCUUCAAGUGGCUGCACAAGCAAUUAACAAGGCAUUACAGAGCUCAGCUAGGACGCCCCCAUAAUAAAUUAUGCGUGCUCAGCUGCCAAAACUGGGUGCUAUACUCAUCUUGGACACACCUGUCAAAAUAGGAUGUUCCACUGCACAAUAGACAGUUUCCCACAACAUCCUAGCAAAGGCACAUGAGAGAGUUGCUCAGGCGCAACAGGCACAAAAGUGACACUAUGACCAUUGCCAUCAUCUAGCACCACAAUACAGGAUGAUUGGAGACAAAAGUCUGAGUAAAGCAACACCACCAGUUAUUGAUGCAGAAGCGACGUGUCAAAUAUGAGGAACCAUUAAUUGUUGUUGAAUGCCUAGGCGAUAGCACUUGGCAAGUCAGCUGCCCGCUUUGUGAAGCACGCGUAGAUAGACGAAAGUGGAACAAUUUUUGCCGUACGUAUGUUUCAGAGUGUAUCAAAUGAAAUAAAGGGUUCAUUGGCAAAACUACCGUGUUGCGGUAAGCUGUGCUUUAUUUUAAAUUUUCUGAUGAGCAACAAACGCAACAUGGCCAAGUGCAAUGAAAGAGGUGCAUGAGCACCACUAAAGGUAAAGAAAGAAGUCGAAGAAAAGAUCAGCGCAGGGGCACUGACACACUUCCUGUUUUGUACCUUCCUUAUAAUAUACUGUCGACUAGCAUUAAUUCAACCCUUACAGGAGCACAAGAAUUGAAAGAAUUAUCCAAAAGGUCAAAUUAACAAAUGGCAGCAAAAUGAACGAAUUCAAACGUUCACUGCUUGAGGCAGUUUGUAAUGUCUUUGUGCUUCUUGUUCUCGAAGCACCACUUAACCGGCAUGCGGCAAUGAGCACCAACAUGCUUAGACGCUGCCUCAGCAUUGAACUGAAAGCAAAAGGAAAGUUCUUAACGUUAUGACAAUAAAAGUGAAGUGAAAGUAAAUUAAAACAAUUUCAUGCCUAGGAAACAGUUGCACUACCUGCUGAAUUCCUUGUUUUUCAAGCCUUAAUAGCCACUAUGAGCAUGAGGGGAUGCCCACGUGAAACACAGAGGCUGCAAGCUUCUGUGUUUGCACAAACUUUUAUUCUGUAGAAAUGUAUCGUUUCUUGCCGAGACCUUUAAGUGUGUUCAAGUUAAGCGAAAAGUCAAAUGAAUCAAUGUCUAUUUAACAAGAGUAGACUGUUUAGUACUGUGCGUGCAUGUGUGUGUGAAUGAUUUUCUAAUAAAAGUGAUUGUUGUGAUUGAGUACA
This is a long non-coding RNA of Dermacentor andersoni, 1552 nucleotides long. RefSeq lists it as uncharacterized. Lineage: Eukaryota; Metazoa; Arthropoda; Arachnida; Ixodida; Ixodidae. The record is from RefSeq and is a predicted model, not a curated record.